UGCGACAGGUGCUGCAUGGCUGUCGUCAGCUCGUGUCGUGAGAUGUUGGGUUAAGUCCCGCAACCGAGCGCAACCCUUAUCCCUAGUUGCCAUCAGGUAAAGCUGGGAACUCUGGGGAGACUGCCGGUGAUAAACCGGAGGAAGGCGGGGAUGACGUCAAGUCCUCAUGGCCCUUACAUCCCGGGCUACACACGUGCUACAAUGGCAGGUACAGAGGCUGCGAAGCCGCGAGGUGGAGCCGAAAUCCCAGAAAACCUGUCUCAGUCCGGAUUGAAGUCUGCAACUCGACUUCAUGAAGGCGGAAUCGCUAGUAACCGCGAAUCAGCAGGUCGCGGUGAAUACGUUCCCGGGCCUU
Molecule: ribosomal RNA, 355 nt
Filed under: uncultured Latescibacterota bacterium
Lineage: Bacteria; Pseudomonadati; Candidatus Latescibacterota
Description: bacterial SSU rRNA
Rfam family: Bacterial small subunit ribosomal RNA
Source: RNAcentral